Molecule: ribosomal RNA, 113 nt
Filed under: Callithrix jacchus (white-tufted-ear marmoset)
Lineage: Eukaryota; Metazoa; Chordata; Mammalia; Primates; Cebidae
Source: RNAcentral
AUGUACAGCCAUACCACCCCGAACAUGCCCAAUCCUGUCUUGAUCUCGGAAGCUAAGCAGGGUCGGGUCUGGUUAGUACCUUGGAUGGGAGAGAAAAACAUAAGUUUUUCUCA